AGUGAACGCUGGCGGUAGGCCUAACACAUGCCAGUCGAACGGCAGCACAGUAAGAGCUUGCUCUUACGGGUGGCGAGUGGCGGACGGGUGAGGAAUACAUCGGAAUCUACUUUUUCGUAGGGGAUAACGUAGGGAAACUUACGCUAAUACCGCAUACGACCUACGGGUGAAAGCAGGGGAUCUUCGGACCUUGCGCGAUUGAAUGAGCCGAUGUCGGAUUAGCUAGUUGGCGGGGUAAAGGCCCACCAAGGCGACGAUCCGUAGCUGGUCUGAGAGGAUGAUCAGCCACACUGGAACUGAGACACGGUCCAGACUCCUACGGGAGGCAGCAGUGGGGAAUAUUGGACAAUGGGCGCAAGCCUGAUCCAGCCAUACCGCGUGGGUGAAGAAGGCCUUCGGGUUGUAAAGCCCUUUUGUUGGGAAAGAAAAGCAGCAGGUUAAUACCCCGCUGUUCUGACGGUACCCAAAGAAUAAGCACCGGCUAACUUCGUG
RNAcentral lists this ribosomal RNA (492 nucleotides) under uncultured bacterium. RNAcentral describes it as "partial 16S ribosomal RNA". It matches the Rfam family "Bacterial small subunit ribosomal RNA", at positions 29 to 507 of the family's 1533-position model. The record is from RNAcentral.